Molecule: long non-coding RNA, 2727 nt
Filed under: Heterocephalus glaber (naked mole-rat)
Lineage: Eukaryota; Metazoa; Chordata; Mammalia; Rodentia; Bathyergidae
Description: lncRNA (ENSHGLG00100041299.1)
Source: RNAcentral
AGUUCCCUUAAUAAGGCAUUUCCACAGUGCAGCCAAUCCCUGAGCUACAGGCAUGUGGGGUCAGGCGGGCUGUUCAUUCCGGAAGGGCGGCUGAGACCCUGGGAACCGGACCAGCCCAGCUCACAAGUACACAAGUAUGAAGAGAAUGUUGGGAGAGGAAGUGGCCGCUCUGAGUCAGCAUGAGUCAUCCCGUCCCAAUGAGAGUGUAGGCUGAGGUGUGUGCGCCUUUUUUUUUUUUUUGGGUCUUAAUCAUGUGGACAUCAUUGGGAAUGGGGGGAACUAAGUGACUGUAUGGUGGCUGCUUUGUAAGUUUCAAAGCAACAACAGCAGCUGUGCCUGAGCCCGUGCAUGCCUUGGGGCCAGUCACAGCACAGUUCCUGAGAAGGUGGAGCCCUCAGCUUCUCCCUGAUGGCAGAGAUAGCUGUGCUUGUCUGGAAAAUGAGCUGCCAAGGACUCCUUUCCAGAAGCCACCGGUGAAGCUUGGAGACAGAGGUGGGUGAAGUUGUGCUAACCCAGGGCCCUUGAGGUUGAGUGAGCUUCCGCUUCUCAGAGGUAGAGGAAAGAGCCCUGAGUCCUUUCUGGCCAUCUGGUCUGAGUGGCCCAGUCUGAGCUGCCCAACUUCCCGGCUUCAGCGCCAGAGAAGCAAAGACAAGGCAGAACUUUGGCUUCCUUCUCCAAAUGUGCAUGAAUCACCCAGGAGCUCAUUUUAUGUCCUUUCCUUUCCCUAAAUGCUGAAAGUCACACUGAGUGGCAAAAAUGAGAAUAAAAAAUAUUUUAGGGGCUAGGAUCGGGGACUGGAAGGAGGAUAUCUGAAGAUGGGCUUGUUUGGAUUGAUUGAGGUCAGAUUUGAGCUUGGUGGCUUUUUCUCAGAGUUACUACUCCGAUGAAGGUUAGCUUUACUGUCAAGUAAAAUACAGGAAAUAUGUUUAAAAUAUGGUUCUGGUUACUGUAAAUGAAACGGUUAAAAUGUCAUAAAUACUUUAUGAUAAACAUUUUUUAAAAAAUUUGCUUAAAAGCAGCACCCCAGCCAGCAGGGCAUGACAGGGAGCUUUUUUAGUGCUGGCAUUUGAGUGUGCCGGCUUCCUGGGGUAAUGAGUCAGCACUGCUUUCUAUAAUUGGAGCAGCUCUGACCGCCCCGAGCACAGCAGGGGUCCCCCAGCCCCCAGGGCUUGGUUGUGCAGUCUUCUGUUCACAUCAGCAUUGAAUGUCACCUCAGCGCAGGGAUGAACUCUCAGCUGUGUCCCAACUCCUCCAGGCUGCAGCUGGGACCCCCUUUUCCCAAGGGCUCUGUCGCUGUCAGAAACCACACGUUUGGCUUCCUCGGCAUCUCCUUUGGCUCUGGUCGAUGACUUUUAGGUUCUGCCUUGAGGAACUGGUUGAACACAGUUUGUUAAAUGAAAAACCCACAUUUAGGCAGGGUCACGGUGCCCAGGGCUGCAGCUGCCCCCAGCAUCCUGUGCUGAUGCCCUGCCUCCAAGUCACAGUUGCCUGGGGACGAGGUGGGAGAAUUGGACGAGGGUGUGAACUUCAAAGUUGGCAUUCUGGCAGUGACAGGUCAGGUGGGAAGAUUCAGCCAGUUUAACAUCUGAGAGUAAGGUUCUAAGGGGAAAACUUUUCCAGCAACUCACUCAUUCUUCUUAGAAACACAGUGAGAGAAAGGUUGAAAGAACUGAAAAAAAAUUAAAUAGCUGGGGCUGCGGGUGGGCAGCUCAGGCAACUGUGGCCCUGAGUGGCUCUGUCCCCUUUGGGUUCUGUUUGUCUGCUCAGCAUUGUUUUCCUGUGUUGAGAUAACCAUGGGUGGGGUCCACCCUCCAGAUCACAGGCCCUACCACACCCUGGGCCACAAGCCUUGGAUGGAGCCAUUCGAGGGAGGCUCGGCCCCCAGGAUGAUGAGGCCUCUAGAUCAUGCCACCACCUGCCACAGAGGGUGACCCAGGCUCAGGGAGUUGGUGUCUGUCCAGUGCUCAGAGCAGGGGCUGGAUGUAGAAGGGAUGCAUGAAUAUUAUUCCUAGGUCCUCAGUCUCCUGGCCUCAAAGGCACUUGGUAGUGAGCCCUGGGUUAGUUAGAUCAUUUUAAAAGGAUCCUGGUGUUCCAUGGUUGGCAGGAGGGUUCCUGGGGCUGAGAAUCAGCUCUGUAGGGCGGACACCAGCUCUUCCCAAGGUGGUAGGCCAGCCCUGGGUGUCUCUUGGUGAGUCACCUUUGUGAGUGCCAGAGGAAUGCCACCUUCAUGGAGAUGAGGAUCACAAAGGAAAACAGCAGAUCACGGUGGGUCCAAGGGUAUGUGGACCACACUCCGGUUCCCAUCCCAGAGAAGGUGCUGGUUCCUGCAUGGGUCCUCCCUGUGGGGCCUGCCACUGGGUUGCAGGUUGCAAGCCCUCUUAGGAGUGCCACUGGUUAAGCAUCCAGGUAGCACAUUAGCCAUGUUCUUCCAUGGAGGAUUUGGGCAGUUGUGUGGAUUCUGGAACUCGAGUCACUUCUUACAGUACAGACAAGCUAGGAGAGAACCAACAUGAUCACUUUUGCCAACAGGAGAAAGAGUCACUUAACAAGGCAAGCAGCAAGGUCACCAACAGGAUGAAAACAGGGCCUCUUUCAACAGGAUCUGCUGUCCGGGUAUUUCCAACUGCCAGAGGGGGCCAGUCCUGCCUGGCUGCAGACAGUAGUAAAAAGGAGCACAUUCCAUGGUGGAAACUAGUGAGCAGUUUAAAAGGAUAUCUACUGUAAAAG